Molecule: ribosomal RNA, 253 nt
Filed under: uncultured bacterium
Lineage: Bacteria
Description: partial 16S ribosomal RNA
Rfam family: Bacterial small subunit ribosomal RNA
Source: RNAcentral
UACGGAGGGUGCAAGCGUUAAUCGGAAUUACUGGGCGUAAAGCGCACGCAGGUGGCUGAGUCAGUCGAUUGUGAAAGCCCUGGGCUUAACCUGGGAAUUGCAGUCGAUACUACUCAGCUAGAGUAUGGGAGAGGGCAGUGGAAUUCCUGGUGUAGCGGUGAAAUGCGCAGAUAUCAGGAGGAACACCGGUGGCGAAGGCGGUUCUCUGGGCCUUACCUGACGCUGAGGAGCGAAAGCGUGGGGAGCGAACAGG